AAUCACUUGUCUUUUAAAUGAAGACCUGUAUNAAUGGCUCGACGAGGGCUUAACUGUCUCCUCUUUCCGGUCAAUGAAAUUGAUCUCUCCGUGCAGAAGCGGAGAUACUACCAUAAGACGAGAAGACCCUAUGGAGCUUUAGACACUAAAGAAGACCAUGUCAGCCACCCCUUGACACAGGAUUAAACUAGUGGACACCUUCCCUAAUGUCUUUGGUUGGGGCGACCGCGGAGAACUAAAGAACCCCCGCGUGGAAUGGGCACACCCGUUCCUUCAAGUAAGAGCGACAGCUCUAACUAGCAGUACUUCUGGCCAUCAAAGAUCCGGCAAAGCCGAUUAACGAACCUAGUUACCCUAGGGAUAACAGCGCAAUCCCCUUCUAGAGUCC
Molecule: ribosomal RNA, 388 nt
Filed under: Scorpaena onaria (ornate scorpionfish)
Lineage: Eukaryota; Metazoa; Chordata; Actinopteri; Perciformes; Scorpaenidae
Description: partial 16S ribosomal RNA
Rfam family: Bacterial large subunit ribosomal RNA
Source: RNAcentral